GAUGAACGCUGGCGGUAUGCCUAACACAUGCAAGUCGUACGAGGGUUUCAUACCCAAGUGGCGGACGGGUGAGUAACACGUGAGAAUUUACCCUAAGGAGGGGGACAACAGCUGGAAACGGCUGCUAAUACCCCAUAUACUUUCGAGUGAGAUAGAUUUUUCUGCCUUAGGAAAAGCUCGCGGCUGAUUAGCUAGUUGGUGAGGUAAUGGCUCACCAAGGCGACGAUCAGUAUCUGGUUUGAGAGGACGAUCAGACACACUGGAACUGAGACACGGUCCAGACUCCUACGGGAGGCAGCAGUGGGGAAUUUUCCGCAAUGGGCGAAAGCCUGACGGAGCAAUACCGCGUGAAGGAAGACGGCCUAUGGGUUGUAAACUUCUUUUUUCAGGGAGGAACUAAAUGACGUGUACCUGAAGAAUAAGCAUCGGCUAACUCCGUGCCAGCAGCCGCGGUAAGACGGAGGAUGCAAGUGUUAUCCGGAAUCACUGGGCGUAAAGCGUCUGUAGGUGGUUUAAUAAGUCGACUGUUAAAUCUUGAGGCUUAACCUCAAAAUCGCAUUCGAAACUAUUAGACUUGAGUAUAGUAGAGGUAAAGGGAAUUUCCAGUGGAGCGGUGAAAUGCGUAGAUAUUGGAAAGAACACCGAUGGCGAAGGCACUUUACUGGGCUAUUACUGACACUCAGAGACGAAAGCUAGGGUAGCAAAUGGGAUUAGAUACCCCAGUAGUCCUAGCCGUAAACAAUGGAUACUAGAUGUUGGACAGAUCGACCUGUGCAGUAUCAAAGCUAACGCGUUAAGUAUCCCGCCUGGGAAGUAUGCUCGCAAGAGUG
RNAcentral lists this ribosomal RNA (830 nucleotides) under uncultured phototrophic eukaryote. RNAcentral describes it as "bacterial SSU rRNA". It matches the Rfam family "Bacterial small subunit ribosomal RNA", at positions 28 to 896 of the family's 1533-position model. The record is from RNAcentral.